CAUGGCAGAGGCCCUGCAUAAACCAUUUGGUUUUGCAAUUAAAAACAGGUUUGGCUUCCCUCUGCAUCAGUAAGACAACGUCAAAGCAACAUUCAUGCCGAAAAUUUUCCCUUGUGAAUUCAAAUGAACUACCCAUCUUCCAUUUAGGUGUCUCUUCUCACUUCAGAAGGUAAAUACAUUUUCCCACUCACCCAUCGGAAGAAACCACAGUGCUACAAGAUGGUACCUGGAGCAGAACUGCGGUUGAGAACUAGCAGAUACCUGAGCUAGCGAUGAUCAGCUCCCAGCACACAACGGUGAAAGUUGCUUGACAAGGAUCUGUUGGCAGAGAUGCAGAGUUGGAAGCCUGGAGAGGCAAAGUGAAGGGAGAAGUUUACGGUCAUGCAGCUGUAAUUAGGUAAGGUACAUCUGAACAGACAGGCGAGUCAGUCACUGAACCUGUGUACAGUUCUCCCGAGUAUUCUUCUGCAGCCUGGUUUUUCGCCUCUCCCCUCCCC
RNAcentral lists this long non-coding RNA (497 nucleotides) under Fukomys damarensis (Damara mole-rat). RNAcentral's name for it is "lncRNA (ENSFDAG00000024953.1)". Lineage: Eukaryota; Metazoa; Chordata; Mammalia; Rodentia; Bathyergidae. The record is from RNAcentral.